UUUUUUUUUAUUUGUAAAAAAUAAUUUAUUUAGACAUCUGACAUCGCUGAUGAAUGCCAACGGCUCUGAUGGCAGAGA
Small nucleolar RNA from Nannospalax galili (Upper Galilee mountains blind mole rat), 78 nucleotides. RefSeq annotates it as small nucleolar RNA SNORD74. Lineage: Eukaryota; Metazoa; Chordata; Mammalia; Rodentia; Spalacidae. The record is from RefSeq and is a predicted model, not a curated record. The transcript has a single exon.